AACUUAAGCAUAUCAAUAAGCGGAGGAAAAGAAACUAACAAGGAUUCCCCUAGUAACGGCGAGUGAAGCGGGAAGAGCUCAAAUUUGUAAUCUGACAUCUUUGAUGUCCGAGUUGUAAUCUCGAGAAGUAUUUUCCGCGUCGGACCACAUUCAAGUCUGUUGGAAUACAGCGUCAUAGUGGUGAGAGCCCCGUACAUAAUGUGGAUGCCCGUUGCUUUGUGAUAUACUUUCGAAGAGUCGAGUUGUUUGGGAAUGCAGCUCAAAUUGGGUGGUAAAUUCCAUCUAAAGCUAAAUAUUGGCGAGAGACCGAUAGCGAACAAGUACCGUGAGGGAAAGAUGAAAAGCACUUUGGAAAGAGGGUUAACAGUACGUGAAAUUGUUGGAAGGGAAACGCUUGAAGUCAGACUUGCUAUUCGGGAUUUAUUUCGAUUUGCAGGCCAGCAUCAGUUUUUGGGGGUGAAAAAGGGUUAGAAGAAGGUGGCAGCUUAGGCUGUGUUAUAGCUUUUAACUGGAUUCAUCCUUGGGGACUGAGGAAUGCAGCACGCUUUUUGCAAGGCUUUCGAGCCUUUCGUGCUUAGGAUGCUGGUUAAGUGGC
RNAcentral lists this ribosomal RNA (595 nucleotides) under Rhodotorula sp. NCAIM Y.01892. RNAcentral describes it as "eukaryotic LSU rRNA". It matches the Rfam family "Eukaryotic large subunit ribosomal RNA", at positions 31 to 638 of the family's 3401-position model. Lineage: Eukaryota; Fungi; Basidiomycota; Microbotryomycetes; Sporidiobolales; Sporidiobolaceae. The record is from RNAcentral.